This 468-nucleotide ribosomal RNA is filed under the name uncultured bacterium. Its description in RNAcentral is "partial 16S ribosomal RNA". It matches the Rfam family "Bacterial small subunit ribosomal RNA", at positions 28 to 507 of the family's 1533-position model. The record is from RNAcentral.
GACGAACGCUGGCGGCGUGCUUAACACAUGCAAGUCGAACGGAAAGGCCCUGCUUUUGUGGGGUGCUCGAGUGGCGAACGGGUGAGUAACACGUGAGUAACCUGCCCUUGACUUUGGGAUAACUUCAGGAAACUGGGGCUAAUACCGGAUAGGAGCUCCUGCUGCAUGGUGGGGGUUGGAAAGUUUCGGCGGUUGGGGAUGGACUCGCGGCUUAUCAGCUUGUUGGUGGGGUAGUGGAUUACCAAGGCUUUGACGGGUAGCCGCCAUGAGAGGGAGACAGGCCACAUAGGGCUUGGGAAAGCGGCAGGACUGAAACGGGGGGAAGGGGGGAGGAUUUGACCGAGAGGGGCGGAGUCAGUGAGCAACGUGGCCGGGUGGGGAAAGACGGUUGUUGGGUAAGAACCGGUGUGGGCGUGGAAAGCACAGGAAGUGACGGUAAGGGGAAAGAAAGCAACGGCUAACUACGUG